ACGCACGCUGGCGGCAUGCCUCACACAUGCCAGUCGCACGAGACCUUCGGGUCUAGUGGCGCACGGGUGCGUAACGCGUGGGAACCUGCCCUUAGGUUCGGAAUAACUCCCCGAAAGGGGUGCUCAUACCGGAUAAUGUCUUCGGACCAAAGAUUUAUCGCCUUUGGAUGGGCCCGCGUUGGAUUAGCUAGUUGGUAGGGUAAAAGCCUACCAAGGCGACGAUCCAUAGCUGGUCUGAGAGGAUGAUCAGCCACACUGGGACUGAGACACGGCCCAGACUCCUACGGGAGGCAGCAGUGGGGAAUAUUGGACAAUGGGCGAAAGCCUGAUGCAGCGAUGCCGCGUGAGUGAUGAAGGCCUUAGGGUUGUAAAGCUCUUUUAUCCGGGAUGAUAAUGACAGUACCGGGAGAAUAAGCCCCGGCUAACUCCGUG
RNAcentral lists this ribosomal RNA (432 nucleotides) under uncultured bacterium. Its description in RNAcentral is "partial 16S ribosomal RNA". It matches the Rfam family "Bacterial small subunit ribosomal RNA", at positions 29 to 507 of the family's 1533-position model. The record is from RNAcentral.